GAUGAAGAACGUAGCGAAAUGCGAUAAGUAGUGUGAAUUGCAGAAUUCAGUGAAUCAUCGAAUCUUUGAACGCACAUUGCGCCCCUUGGUAUUCCAUGGGGCAUGCCCGUUCGAGCGUCAUUUGUACCUUCAAGCUUUGCUUGGUGUUGGGUGUUUGUCUCGCCUUUGCGUGUAGACUCGCCUUAAAAUAAUUGGCAGCCGGCGUAUUGAUUUCGGAGCGCAGUACAUCUCGCGCUUUGCACUCAUAACGACAGCGUCCAAAAGUACAUUUUACACUCUUGACCUCGGAUCAGGUAGGGAUACCCGCUGAACUUAAGCAUAUCAAUAAGCGGAGGA
RNAcentral lists this unclassified non-coding RNA (336 nucleotides) under soil metagenome. RNAcentral describes it as "partial contains 5.8S ribosomal RNA, internal transcribed spacer 2, and large subunit ribosomal RNA". The stretch from base 1 to 120 matches the Rfam family "5.8S ribosomal RNA", at positions 35 to 154 of the family's 154-position model. The record is from RNAcentral.